CUCCUGGCCACUCCCUGCAGAGGCGAAGGUCCGAGGCCCAGGUACCGGAGAUCAAACUCAGGACCUUGUGCUUAUGAGGCAGGCAGCGGAACCACUGAGGUGAGCAGCUUUCCUCGACCACAUCCUUUUACGAUGGCGUUGCUGCCUGGCCACUGAGCCAGCUGACCGUGGACGGAAACCUCUGAAACUGUGAACCAAGAUAAAGUCUUCCCCCUUAAGUUGCUCUUCUCAGGAGAAGAGCAGAAGACAGAACCCACCCUGCCAGCCCUUUACAGUAGCAUCGAUCUAUGCAGGAGGUGGAGUGCGCGUGAUUCGAACACCUCCCCAAGGCCCCACCCUCUCAGUGCUGCUGUUUGGGAUUAAGUUUCCAACAUAGGAGAUGGCGGAGGGGCACAGUCAAAAUAGCCAGGAGGCUAUGGAGUGACUGUCCAAGGGCACAUCUGCAUUACUGUUCCUUAUCCCUUACCCAUCCUAUAUUGGUUUUCCAGAGCUGC
Molecule: long non-coding RNA, 494 nt
Filed under: Heterocephalus glaber (naked mole-rat)
Lineage: Eukaryota; Metazoa; Chordata; Mammalia; Rodentia; Bathyergidae
Description: lncRNA (ENSHGLG00100033103.1)
Source: RNAcentral